This 358-nucleotide ribosomal RNA is filed under the name uncultured organism. RNAcentral describes it as "bacterial SSU rRNA". It matches the Rfam family "Bacterial small subunit ribosomal RNA", at positions 45 to 433 of the family's 1533-position model. The record is from RNAcentral.
UGGAUUAGGCAUGCAAGUCAAGGGGGCCGCAAGGCAACCGGCAGACGAGGUAGUAACACGUAGGAACGCACUUUUUAGUCGGGCAUAGCUCGUCGAAAGACGGGGUAAUUCCUGAUAGUCCCGCAAGGGUAAAGAUUUAUCGCUAAAAAAGCGGCCUGCGCAGUAUCAGCUAGUUGGUAGGGUAAUGGCCUACCAAGGCUAUGACGCUUAGGAGAGCUGAGAGGCUGACCUCCACCGAUGGAACUGAGACACGGUCCAUACACCUACGGGUGGCUGCAGUCGAGAAUAUUUCGCAAUGGGGGAAACCCUGACGGAGCGACACCGCGUGAUUGAUGAAGUCCUUCGGGACGUAAAGAUC